This 71-nucleotide transfer RNA is filed under the name Paenibacillus riograndensis. RNAcentral's name for it is "tRNA-Cys". It matches the Rfam family "tRNA". From Rfam's summary of the family: Transfer RNA (tRNA) molecules are approximately 80 nucleotides in length. Their secondary structure includes four short double-helical elements and three loops (D, anti-codon, and T loops). Further hydrogen bonds mediate the characteristic L-shaped molecular structure. tRNAs have two regions of fundamental functional importance: the anti-codon, which is responsible for specific mRNA codon recognition, and the 3' end, to which the tRNAs corresponding amino acid is attached (by aminoacyl-tRNA synthetases). tRNAs cope with the degeneracy of the genetic code in two manners: having more than one tRNA (with a specific anti-codon) for a particular amino acid; and 'wobble' base-pairing, i.e. permitting non-standard base-pairing at the 3rd anti-codon position. Lineage: Bacteria; Bacillati; Bacillota; Bacilli; Caryophanales; Paenibacillaceae. The record is from RNAcentral.
GGCGCAAUAGCCAAGUGGUAAGGAAAAGUUUUGCAAAAGCUUUAUCCCCAGUUCUAGUCUGUGUGGUGCCG